Molecule: long non-coding RNA, 556 nt
Organism: Toxorhynchites rutilus septentrionalis
Lineage: Eukaryota; Metazoa; Arthropoda; Insecta; Diptera; Culicidae
Exons: 4
Source: RefSeq, a predicted model, not a curated record
AAGGGAGAUAAACAGAAUCAAAACAAAAACAAAUCGAAUAGCAGGUGAAUUGGAAGUGAAAAUAAAAUUGAGAAUAAAUUGGUGUAUUUUUUCUGGAAAUUAUCAGUAGUGAGGGCGGCAGUAGUAGAAAUAUUGUCAAUAAAUUCAGGAAUAAUAGCACGGUUACACCGAGCCGAAUAAAAAGUGGAAAUCAAUUCACUAGUAACAAUAAACUAGAGAAAUAGUAAACUACUAAAAGUUUACUGGCUAGUGUUUGAGUACGAAUUGAUCGAAUCGUUGUAGGAGGAAAAAAGGAGAAACUAUCUUUUUUGAGCUGCUGAAAUUUGCUGCUACAAAACGGUAGUGUUUCCCUACAAUCCGAACAGUCAAUGAUUGGAUAAUGUUUUUGCUCAAAAGCUUAAGUUGCAAUUGGGCUUUUGAGUAAACUCUACGAAUUCCGCAUAAAUUGGGGGCUACAAAAUUGUCGAACUAUGUUUACCUCUAUCUAGAAAUAUUAGAAAGGUAUAUUUCUCAUUUCAUAAGUACAUAAGUUACAUAAGGUCGUCAAAUAAAUCGU